GUGCUCAGUGUACCAGUACAUACAAUAAAAUAAAAAUGAAACAGAGAUUACCAUGGCCCCUGCAUAAGACUGACACACAAAUUCAUGAAGAUUUAAAAAAAUAA
Molecule: non-coding RNA, 104 nt
Organism: Erinaceus europaeus (western European hedgehog)
Lineage: Eukaryota; Metazoa; Chordata; Mammalia; Eulipotyphla; Erinaceidae
Source: Rfam